This 253-nucleotide ribosomal RNA is filed under the name uncultured bacterium. Its description in RNAcentral is "partial 16S ribosomal RNA". It matches the Rfam family "Bacterial small subunit ribosomal RNA", at positions 524 to 776 of the family's 1533-position model. The record is from RNAcentral.
UACGUAGGGGGCGAGCGUUGUCCGGAUUUAUUGGGCGUAAAGAGCGUGUAGGCGGUUCGGUAAGUCUGUCGUGAAAUCCUGAGGCUCAACCUCGGGCGUGCGAUGGAUACUGCCGGGCUAGAGGAUGGUAAAGGCGAGUGGAAUUCCCGGUGUAGCAGUGAAAUGCGUAGAGAUCGGGAGGAACAUCAGUUGCGAAGGCGGCUCUCUGGACCAGCACUGACACUGAGGCACGAAAGCGUGGGGAGCAAACAGG